This 253-nucleotide ribosomal RNA is filed under the name uncultured bacterium. RNAcentral describes it as "partial 16S ribosomal RNA". It matches the Rfam family "Bacterial small subunit ribosomal RNA", at positions 524 to 776 of the family's 1533-position model. The record is from RNAcentral.
UACGUAGGGUGCGAGCGUUGUCCGGAAUUACUGGGCGGAAAGAGCUCGUAGGUGGUUUGUCGCGUUGUUCGUGAAAACUCACAGCUUAACUGUGGGCGUGCGGGCGAUACGGGCAGACUGGAGUACUGCAGGGGAGACUGGAAUUCCUGGUGUAGCGGUGAAAUGCGCAGAUAUCAGGAGGAACACCAACAGCGAAGGCAGCACUCUGGGCCGGUACUGACGCUGAGGAGCGAAAGCAUGGGGAGCGAACAGG